UGUCCAUUGUUUUAGCAUGUUGCUUCGUUGCCACUACUAGUUUCGUUUUGGACUGUGAAGAAAUUGCUAUGGAGCGUGCGUUACAGUGGUUUCGUUAGCUCUCGCCUUUGUUAUGACACGCCCGUGACGAUCGGGUAAUGACGGCGACUAGUAGCGGUUCUGCCGAAAUGCAUGGGAAGUUGAGGCAACCACGACUGAGGCCACAUCUGAAAGUUGUGUCUCUUAUAGCCCGGCCGCAGCACUGUUAAUAAAUCGUUGGAUGACAUAAGUGGGCUUCGGACAUCAACUCCGCAUAAUUGCUGUGCCCGUAAAGGACUACAUUGUCAACACAUGACAUCUCCCAGAUAUUGAAGCUGUACUCCUGCCUGCAUCCAUCUGACAAGGUUUUGCAAAAAUAUUCAUCGAAAUCAAAAAGAAAACCCUACCUGCGAGCUGGAGAAUUUUUCGAAUGUGUCCUGGUUCU
This is a long non-coding RNA of Corythoichthys intestinalis (scribbled pipefish), 463 nucleotides long. RefSeq lists it as uncharacterized. The record is from RefSeq and is a predicted model, not a curated record. NCBI's taxonomy places the organism in Eukaryota, Metazoa, Chordata, Actinopteri, Syngnathiformes, Syngnathidae. The transcript has 3 exons.